AUGUAUCAAGGAUUAAAAUCAU
This 22-nucleotide small nuclear RNA is filed under the name Arabidopsis thaliana (thale cress). Its description in RNAcentral is "snRNA_05080". Lineage: Eukaryota; Viridiplantae; Streptophyta; Magnoliopsida; Brassicales; Brassicaceae. The record is from RNAcentral.